This 492-nucleotide ribosomal RNA is filed under the name uncultured bacterium. Its description in RNAcentral is "partial 16S ribosomal RNA". It matches the Rfam family "Bacterial small subunit ribosomal RNA", at positions 29 to 507 of the family's 1533-position model. The record is from RNAcentral.
AGUGAACGCUGGCGGUAGGCCUAACACAUGCAAGUCGAACGGCAGCACAGUAAGAGCUUGCUCUUACGGGUGGCGAGUGGCGGACGGGUGAGGAAUACAUCGGAAUCUACUUUUUUGUGGGGGAUAACGUAGGGAAACUUACGCUAAUACCGCAUACGACCUACGGGUGAAAGCAGGGGAUCUUCGGACCUUGCGCGAUUGAAUGAGCCGAUGUCGGAUUAGCUAGUUGGCGGGGUAAGGGCCCACCAAGGCGACGAUCCGUAGCUGGUCUGAGAGGAUGAUCAGCCACACUGGAACUGAGACACGGUCCAGACUCCUACGGGAGGCAGCAGUGGGGAAUAUUGGACAAUGGGCGCAAGCCUGAUCCAGCCAUACCGCGUGGGUGAAGAAGGCCUUCGGGUUGUAAAGCCCUUUUGUUGGGAAAGAAAAGCAGCAGGUUAAUACCCCGCUGUUCUGACGGUACCCAAAGAAUAAGCACCGGCUAACUUCGUG